This 712-nucleotide ribosomal RNA is filed under the name uncultured bacterium. Its description in RNAcentral is "bacterial SSU rRNA". It matches the Rfam family "Bacterial small subunit ribosomal RNA", at positions 104 to 810 of the family's 1533-position model. The record is from RNAcentral.
GGGUGAGUAACACGUAUGCAACCUGGCCGUCACAGGUGGAUAACCGGAAGAAAUUCCGACUAAUACAGCAUAACACUCCUGAGGGACAUCCUUCGGGAGUCAAAGGAGGUAACUCCGGUGACGGAUGGGCAUGCGGCGCAUUAGGUAGUUGGUAGGGUAACGGCCUACCAAGCCGACGAUGCGUAGGGGUUCUGAGAGGAAGGUCCCCCACAUUGGAACUGAGACACGGUCCAAACUCCUACGGGAGGCAGCAGUGAGGAAUAUUGGUCAAUGGCCGGAAGGCCGAACCAGCCAAGUCGCGUGAGGGAAUAAGGCCCUAUGGGUCGUAAACCUCUUUUGUCAGGGAGCAAAGGCGUCCACGUGUGGUCGAGAGGAGAGUACCUGAAGAAAAAGCAUCGGCUAACUCCGUGCCAGCAGCCGCGGUAAUACGGAGGAUGCGAGCGUCAUCCGGAUUUAUUGGGUUUAAAGGGUGCGUAGGCGGAGUGUCAAGUCAGCGGUAAAAUUUCGGGGCUCAACCCCGUCGUGCCGUUGAAACUGACACCCUUGAGUGAGUGAGAAGUAAGCGGAAUGCGUGGUGUAGCGGUGAAAUGCAUAGAUAUCACGCAGAACGCCGAUUGCGAAGGCAGCUUACCGGCGCUCAACUGACGCUGAGGCACGAAAGUGCGGGUAUCGAACAGGAUUAGAUACCCUGGUAGUCCGCACAGUAAACGAU